UGAAGUAACACGUAUCCAACCUGCCGCUUACUCGGGGAUAGCCUUUCGAAAGAAAGAUUAAUACCCGAUGGUAUAAAGAGUUCGCAUGUUCUCUUUAUUAAAGAAUUUCGGUAAGCGAUGGGGAUGCGUUCCAUUAGAUAGUUGCGGGGUAACGGCCCACCAAGUCUACGAUGGAUAGGGGUUCUGAGAGGAAGGUCCCCCACAUUGGAACUGAGACACGGUCCAAACUCCUACGGGAGGCAGCAGUGAGGAAUAUUGGUCAAUGGACGAGAGUCUGAACCAGCCAAAAGUAGCGUGAAGGAUGACUGCCCUAUGGGUUGUAAACUUCUUUUAUAAGGGAAUAAAGUGAGGGACGUGUCCCUUUUUGUAUGUACCUUAUGAAUAAGGAUCGGCUAACUCCGUGCCAGCCGCGGC
RNAcentral lists this ribosomal RNA (414 nucleotides) under uncultured bacterium. RNAcentral describes it as "bacterial SSU rRNA". It matches the Rfam family "Bacterial small subunit ribosomal RNA", at positions 107 to 518 of the family's 1533-position model. The record is from RNAcentral.